GUUAGAAAAGUGAAGCAUUUCGUCUCUCUAUUGUCUCAUCUAAAGCCUUUCGUCUCUCAAGUCUUAAACCUAGAAAAAAUCGCUAUCGACGAACUGUGCGGCCUGCUCCGGCGAAGGAAGAUCCAUUCCGACGAAGGACAACCAUUUUGGCUAAUAUAAGGGAAUCUCAGAUGUAGGUUGUCGGUAUUUUACCCAUGUUCGAUAUUUUCUAUGGUUGUUUGAUGUUCGCUAUUGUUUCGCUGGAAAAUUGUUUCGCUACUUCUUCUGUUUUCUUUCUCUGCUGAUUUAGCGGAGCAAUUUUUUCAUGGGAUUCUUCUGCUUGGGCCAUAUCAGAUAGAGGUUUAUUUUUUCAUACAAGUAAUAUAUUGUGUGAAUUUGCAUUGGUCAUAGCGACAAAAUAGGAUCUGUUCAUGAGUGAUGAAAGUAAAACUGACUUCCUUAGUGUCAUGUUUUAAAGUUAUUUGUAUAUACCCCGUUAAAUAUCAUAUACGAUUUGACAUACUUAGUCCCCAUUUAGGAAUCCAUUUAUUAGGACUCACUUGUUUCCAAUUUAAGGUAAUGAGCUCUCUUUCUAGUUUAAAUUUCUACUCAAUUCACCUUUUCACUUUUCCAAUAGUAGGAUCUAGAACUAGGAAACUAGCAAAAACAUAGCAGAGUCUUUAUUAUAUUAACAAAUUCCCAGCAGAGUUAACUUUUUUUCAAAAUAUGGUAAAAUCCCUACAAUUAAGGAAACUGACUAAUUAUGAAAUUAAUUCAAACCUAAAAGAUAUCCAUUUAGUAUGAUAUUAAUUAACCACUUAUUAAGAGAUAUUAUGUUAUUUCAAAUCGCUUCGUAGAUCUCUUCUUUAGAGUAAGAAUUUUCUGUUGUUUAUUCAUAGUCAUAUUGAUCACCUUCAUAGUUUUUCACCUUUUUCAUCUUCUUGCUGAUGCUUUUUCCUACACUCAUAUCCAUCAUCAUCUUCACAACAUUAUUAUUAUAUAGUAUAUAUUGUAUGAUAUAUAGUAAUUGUGGGAAAAGAGAAGUUUGGUGAUAAGACAUACAAUAAAGGAAUUUGACAGAAUGGUUCCUUCUGUACUACAAUUAACUAUAAUAAAGUGAUCUGGUAUAGUGAUUCUAAAGAAAUCAUAUACCUUGUGCUUUGAGCUUGUUAUGUAUUUCAGAAAUGAAACUCGAAUGCAACAUAUUCUUGAAGAUGUUCCAGCUUCUCAGUUUAAGGAACUCCUUAGGUAUUGGAACUCUGAGAAACUCCAGGUAUGUGACUUUUUACUUGUUCUUCUUCGUCUUCUUGAACUUCUUCUUAAAAUUCUUCUUCUUUUUCUUCUUUCUGGAGAUGUUUUCUCCUUCUUCUUGGCCAUUGCUGUUGUCUUUCCCUUCUUUCUCUGCUUCACUGCUGCUGUUUUUUUUCUUUUCGUUUUUCACUUUGUUGCUACUGCAUAUACACUCUGCUCGCCGCUGUUGCUAUUUUUAAAGACUAGCCAAAGACCUUGCAAUCUGAAAUUUCCUAUAACUACUAAACAAAAUACAAUCAUAAUUGGACAAGGUGUACAACAUCAAAAGACGAUUAAGCUAUAAGCAGAAACGAUUAAAAGCAGAUAUAACUUGGAAAUAUUGUAGAAUGCCAAAAUUGAAGAUGUCUUGGCUUCAUCAGAAGUGUCAAAUUUCUAGUCAUUGAGUACUAUUGUGGAGAUAUUAUUGCAGUUGCUCCAUACUCAUGAUUGAAGCAAGAAAACCACUAGUUUGGACCAAAAAACUCUGCAGAAAACUUCAGCAAAUAAUAGCAUGUAGGCAGAAUGCUGGGACAAAAAUGACCUAGAAUGAGAAAAGUAUCACAAUAGGUUUCUUUCUUUAUUUUUCUACUAUAUUAGAAGUGCGAGUGCACUAGGUGAAGCAGGGUGGUCUUCGUCGACAUGCCUGCUUUACCUAAAAUAUAUUUGCCACUCCUUUUGUAUAUUAUUACCCCAGUUGCCAUCACAAAGUUUUGUAAAUAUUUGAAACUUCUUAGUCAUUCUCAGGGCCCAUAUUGUCAGCCCCAAUCCCAUUUGUGCUGUAUUUCCUGACUGUCUGCCUUAUAGAAAAUAUCUUGGUCCCUGCUUUUAUAUUUUAUUACUUCAAUUGCCAUCGUACAUUUUAGUAAAUAAAGAAAACAUUUGAGGCAUUUUUAAGGCCCAAAUUGUCAGCCUCAAUUGUGUUGUAUGUAGAGAUUUUACUCCACGUGAAACCAAACAUUUGCUCCGUAUUUUUGAAGCUAAGCUUAAACAGAAACAAGAAUAGAAAGAUCCUUAAACUUUGUUUGAAAUGAAAAACAAUGUCUAGAACCUGGUGGUAACCAUUGAAAGACUUAUUAAUACUUUACUAUUGUUUCACUCAUUAGUUCUUAAUUAUAACAUCGAGCAAAAUUAAUAAAAAGGGAAAAAGAUGAUUCAUUCUUAAUUUAGUAUUCUUCUAUACUUUAUCGUAUCAACUUUUGUAUACUCGAGCUUAAUUAUUUAUUCAACAUGUUUACUACUAAACUUAAAAAUAUAGUCAUCUAUUAGUUCCUAAUCAGUGUUAUUUGUCAAAGCUUUUGAUAGAGUUGUGAUAUUAAAGCAACUGAGCUACACAAAUGAUUUUUUAGAAUGAUCAUGUCCAAAUGGUUUCACUACCUAGCAAUAAAAUGAUGAAUUGGGUCAUUAUUGAUUUCUUUCAACUUUGAUCGUACUCAAAAUAUAAGUUAUUAAUGUAAGUUAUUAAUUUUAAUAUAAAAAUAAUAUCUCCUCGAAAUAUAUCUUACACUCACUCAUUAUUUAUAACUAUCUUUUUUUUAUAACCGUGGUGUUCGGGCAAGCUUGCGUGCACCUCGACUAAUUCCACGGGAUACCUGCAACCUCCCACCAGCAACAUGUACCAGGUAACUCUAUCCACCAAGGCUUGGAUAGAUGGGAAGAAAUCACUUAGUGUUUGCAUCCGUUGGAAUUUGAACCUCAGACCUCAUGGUUCUCACCCACUUCAUUGACCACUAGGCCACACCUUUGGGUGCUAUUAUUUAUAUCUAUCUUUAAUAUCAUACUCGAAAUUUAAAUAUAAUAACUCUAUCUAAAAAUUUAGCUAAAAUUAUUGAAUCGUCAAAUGAUAUGUAGUGUUCAAUCUAGAGAAAGUUGACACAUAAAGGAUGUUUUAAAUAGUAUUUAUUCAUUAGCAAAUAUAGACAAAGCACACCUAAGCAGUUAAAUAUUUUGCGAAGUUUCCCUUGAUGUUUGAGAACAUUGAUUAAAAGUUAAUAUUUUUUACACGAUAUGUUCUAUGAAAGCACUAGUUAAAAUAGUAUAAUAUUAGAAUUUUAUUUUAUUUUAAAUAGUACUUUUAAUUGCAAUGUGCGCACGGGCUUUAUUGCUCCUAGUAAACAAAGAGACGAAGAGUUUAGCAGCAUCUAAUAAGAUCAAUUAAGGCGAUUCCAUUUCGAAUGUCAUAGAUAGAAACAGAGAAGCUAGGACAUGAUUACUGUUGUCGAAGUCGUCUGCCCAUUGAUGUCAAUAUUAGAAAUGUGCUCUCUUCAUUAACCAACAAUAUUUGGCUGACAGAAACAUUAAAGCAUAUACUCUAUCAUGACAAUAUCAUAACUGCUUUGAAAUACUCGCAGUGUGCCCUCAUGAAAUUGUCUCCAUUAGAUUACGACCAAGAAAUAACACUAUCAGCUAGGGAAUAAAAUCAUCUUGAACAUUAAUUUCCUUGAUUGAUGAUAUUUUAAGGAUAAAAUUUCUUUGAGUGAGAUACUUAGGGGACUAGUCAGGCAAAAAGAACUCCAGUAAUGUCUAUUAAACAUAUAAUUCUGAUUACCACACUCUGAAAAUGACAAACCAAAAUAUUCCUCUAACAACAAAAGAUGGUCUAUCAGGAUAGCUACAAGCUGUAACAUCCUCAAGAACAAAGCCAAUAACAAAGCUAGAUGAAUGUUGAAAGAAACUAGAAAAAUAGAAAUUACAUAACAAUGGAUGGGGGUUGCAAGAACUUCUUUGAGAGGGAAAGUAGGAUGUUAUGAACCAUCUUCAAAUACUUCAAAUUCUAUACAAAAAUCGAAGGAGAAGAUACAAAAGAAUGGAGGAAAAAAUUGAGGAACAAAAGGGAACUAUCCGUCAAGAAGUUAUUGCAGAUGUCCUUGCACGACUUCAGCGUUCAAGAAUUGAUAUUGAUGCUAACAUUAUUCUAGCGGCAUUGGGUGAUAAUUCAUCGGGAGAAGCUUCAUCUGCACAACAAACAACUUUGCAACCAAUCCGUCAUCCAUCUACUGGAAGCAACAAAGAAGGCCAACUCAUUCUAGGUGCAACAGUUGCGGUUGAAAGCAGUGAUGAAGACCUUACUUAGUGUUGUUGAUAGUUGUUAGACUUUCUAUCAUCAUGUUCAAGGAUAUUUUAGUUUAGAACUUUUUGUAUACAAAUUGAAACUCAUCUACUUUGACUUUUGAGUUGUUGACCAAACAAUGUAUUCAUAUUUUGUUUUUGUAUAUGGAUAAUGCGAGUUGGAUAUUUUAAUCUUA
This is a long non-coding RNA of Nicotiana tabacum (common tobacco), 4511 nucleotides long. RefSeq lists it as uncharacterized. The record is from RefSeq and is a predicted model, not a curated record. Lineage: Eukaryota; Viridiplantae; Streptophyta; Magnoliopsida; Solanales; Solanaceae.